GUAUUACUGGACAGUAAAACCACCAAAGAAAAAUUUCCCAGAAUAAUUCUUACCCUUCUGAGUUAGCUCAAACUGUAUCAUCACAUGAGAUGCAUGUAUUUCCCUCUACUACGCUCUGUUUAUUCCAUCAAAAGUGUGCCUCUAAGCAUUCCAGUGAGAGCUCUUUGUUGGAGGGACAAAUGACCUUUAGGAAGUCCUCAGAAACAUAAAUAGAGCAGAUGAGGCAGGCAAGAAAAGGAAGGGAGCAUCCUGACCAAGGGCCAGGCCUCCAGCCAGCUGGGAUUGGCCCAGGAAAUCUCCCCGACCCGACAGUGGAAAGAUGGGGUAGAAGAAAAGCAACUGUUCAUCACCCCCUCCAAAUGCAUAAAGAAAAGAAGGGUCUCUGCUAUCUGGAAUCAAACUCCAGCCUGAAUCUGGAAGCGGCACACUUUCUAAAUCUGGACUAUGAUGGUCUGCAGCCCAGUCACCAACCAAAUACAGAAAGGAAACUUUAUCACUUUAUUUUUCCCAAGGAAGGCUGUUCUUUAAAACAACAUCAGAUCAAUGUUACACUUGGUUUGGAGAACCGCACUGUCUGGGUGUAGAAGAUCCAUUCUAGCAUGGCUGUCACCUGGAUGGUGUAAAGGGGAGAUGGAGAAGAAUCAAUCUGCUUGUUUCCUUGGAGGAGCUCCAGGCUUCGCCUUCACUUUGAACAUCAUCUCCUGGCUUCCAGUGCAGACUCUUCAGCUUCCAGCUCAGACUUUUCAGCCUUCCCACAUAAACUCUUCAGCCUUCCAUCACAGACCCAUCAGCCUCCUGAUAUGAACUCUGCAGUGAGCUCCAGACCUUCAACUGAAUCCUUCAUAUCCAGUGUGCAGACAAAUCCUCUGCACUCUUCCACAUCUGACUGUUUGAGUCUCUAUUGUAAGUCAAUCUUGUAAAUUCAUAUAUAUGUAAUAUAUAUAUUUGUAUAUUUCAUGUUAUAUCUGUUUCAUUCAUCUGUAGAUGGACAUCUGGUUUCUUUCUAUCUUUUGACUAUUGUGAAUAACUCUGCUAUGAACCGCAGUGUGUGAAGAUCUGUUUGAGUCCCUUUUUCAUUUCUUUGGGGAUAUAUUCAGAGGCAGAAUUGCUUGAUCAUAUGAUAUUUCCAUGUUUUACUUUCUGUGGAACCACAGAACUCUUUCCACUGCUGUCAUAUUUGAUGUUUCCUUCAGCAAAGCACAAGAGCUUCAGUUUCUUCUCCACAUCUUCACCGAUAUUUUCCACAUUUUUGAUAACAGCCACUCCAAUGGCUAAGUAUCAUUACUGAAUUUGGUCUGCUUUGUUAACUAUUCUUACGAAAAGUCACAAAGAGGAAUUAUUAUACAGCUAGUUACCCUGCAUGUGGAAAGCUGCAAACAUCUGAUGUGAGUCUCAAAGCAGAAAGUAAAAUAUGGUGAUAUCUGUUACAUUUCAAACACAGCACUGAUAUUUCUCCAAAUAAGAACAUAAACCUGUGUUUUGAAACUGCCAUUAAAAAUCUUACAGCAAAUUCUUGGUAUAUAAGUAGAUCCCUAGUCAAGACCAUAGCCUAUAAGAGGCUGAUACCUGUGAAUGCCUUUCUUGGCAAAGCCAAACUCUUACUGAAGUUAGGAAUACCUUACACUUGACCCCAAACAUUAAACGAUUUCCCUCCAUUUUGAUUUUAGUUCAGUGCAUGGUGAAAGAUGUGGGUCUAAUUUUAAUCUUUGGCAAGUUGAAACCCAGUUUUUCCAACACCGUUUAUUAAAUAGGCUAUCUUUCCUCCAGUGAGGGUAUUUGGCUCCUUUGUCAAAGAUGAGCUAUCUGAGUGUGUCUGGAGUUGUUGUUGCAUCUUCUAAUCUGUUCCACUGAUCCUCAGGUUUGUUUCCUUGCCAGUACCAUGUUGUUUUUAUCGUAGUGGUUUGUAGUAUAGUUUCAUGUUGCAGAUUGUGAUAUCCCCUGUCAUGUCUCCAUUGCCCAGAAUCGCUUUCGCUAUUCUAGGUCUCUUCUGGUUCCAAAUGAAUUUUUGGAUUGUUUUCUCUAGUUCUGUGAAGUAUACUGUUGGAAUUUCAAUUGGGAUUUACGCUCUUUAUAUUAUUAUCCCAGCUCAGCUUCAUACGGUCCUCUCAGGUGACAGAGGAAUGGGGGAGGGGAGUUUAUGUGUCCAAUACCCUGUGAUCAGAAGACACCGA
Molecule: long non-coding RNA, 2171 nt
Filed under: Heterocephalus glaber (naked mole-rat)
Lineage: Eukaryota; Metazoa; Chordata; Mammalia; Rodentia; Bathyergidae
Description: lncRNA (ENSHGLG00100048305.1)
Source: RNAcentral